Ribosomal RNA from Candidozyma haemuli, 120 nucleotides. Lineage: Eukaryota; Fungi; Ascomycota; Pichiomycetes; Serinales; Metschnikowiaceae. The record is from RefSeq and is a predicted model, not a curated record.
CAGCGAUCAAAUCUGGUCGAAAAUACUGUUUCCCGUCCGAUCAACGAACGUCAAGCGCCCAAGAGCCACAGUGAGUAAUACAGUGGGAGACCAUGUGUGAAAUUGUGGUGUUGCUGUCUU